CCUACGGGAGGCAGCAGUGGGGAAUAUUGGUCAAUGGGCGAGAGCCUGAACCAGCGACGUCGCGUGAAGGAUGAAGGAUCUCUGGUUUGUAAACUUCUUUUAUAUGGGAAUUAAGUGCGGAACGUGUUCCUUUUUGUAUGUCCCAUUUGAAUAAGCAUCGGCUAACGCCGGGCCAGCAGCCGCGGUAAUACGGAGGAUGCGAGCGUUAUCCGGAUUUAUUGGGUGUAAAGGGUGCGUAGGUGGUUAAUUAAGUCAGCGGUGAAAGUUUGGGGCUCAACCAUGAAAUUGCCGUUGAAACUGGUUGGCUGGAGUAUAGGGGAGGUAGGCGGAAUGCGUGGUGUAGCGGUGAAAUGCAUAGAUAUCACGCAGAACUCCGAUUGCGAAGGCAGCUUACUAAACUAUAACUGACACUGAAGCACGAAAGCGUGGGGAGCAAACAGGAUUAGAUACCCCUGUAGUC
RNAcentral lists this ribosomal RNA (460 nucleotides) under uncultured bacterium. RNAcentral's name for it is "partial 16S ribosomal RNA". It matches the Rfam family "Bacterial small subunit ribosomal RNA", at positions 338 to 795 of the family's 1533-position model. The record is from RNAcentral.